RNAcentral lists this long non-coding RNA (1364 nucleotides) under Homo sapiens (human). RNAcentral describes it as "HSALNT0209105". Lineage: Eukaryota; Metazoa; Chordata; Mammalia; Primates; Hominidae. The record is from RNAcentral.
CAGUGAUCCAAAAACCUGACCAGGUCACAAAUUACAGGUUUGUUAAUUGUAUUAUUACAAUACAUUAAAUAUUUUAAUCACUAUAUAAUGAACAUAUUUUCAAUAGAAAAUUGUAUUUGUCCACUUAAUCCAAAGAAUAUGUUUGUUAUAGAAAACUGAAUUUGCUCACGUAAACUGCAAUGAACUAACUCACAAGUCUCAUUUAGUUUCCCCUGAGGAACAGAAAAUUUCAGAUUCCCUUGGUUUAGCUUUUUCCUUGAGGAUUUUUGAAAUAAAGGCUACUUCUAGCUGCUUCAAACCUGCUACACCCAGUGUAAAAGCACUUUCUUCCACAUCCUGGAAGCCCCAUUUAAAUACAAUGCUGAGCCGAUGGACCAUAAAUGCAACCCAAUGUGGUAAUUCCUAAAUUCCUAUUUAACACACUUGAUCUCCAACAUUUUAGUAUGAAUAACAAUUAGAUCCUGUGAGACGGGGUGUUUAUAGUAUAAAAACAGGAUGAAACUCAGAAAGAAAUAAAGCCCCAGAAAAUCAUCAGUCUAUGUAGCUUAGUUAUAGUAGCUGUACUUCAUUAAAUUCAGGUUCAUUUUAGUUCAUAUACGUUAGUAUUCUGCAAAGUUUAUUGCCAUCUUCUCUAGGCAUUCAUUUUCUCAGAUAGGAUAGUUUUGCUUUUUUUCUUUCCAAAUCUUACAUUAGUCCCUGUCUCUAUAAUUACUAUUCUCUAGAUUUAUAAUUGUUCCACUAUGUCUUUCUUGAGUUGCAACAACCAGCUAUGCACACAACCUUCCAGGUGUGGAUUCACUAUACUUCUAUUAAAAGCUAUAUAAUUACUGGCCUGGAAAAGUCAAAAAGGUGCUGUAAACUGAGUGUAUCUAUUUUCGGCCACAGACAAAGAAGAUUGAAUUAACCACACUCCUCCAUUCCUAGCAUAAGCCUUGUGUCUUGUUUAUUGUUGUUUUAUUUAUUUUCUCUCAUCCCCAUACCUCUCUCCCAAUCUCCUCAACCCCAUAGCACCUAUUUUAAUUAUUUGAAUAUAUAUCUUUUGUGUCUGUGUUCUUUCCAAAUGGAUAUUUGUUUGCACAUAAUUAUGCACACACAUGCACACACACAUAUAUAAAACUCUGUAACUUUCAUUACACAGUAUGUCUGUAAGAUUCAUCCAUGUUGCCAUGCAGAUAGCAUACACCUAAUAUAUUACUUUUAGCUGCUGUUAAAGCAGCAUCAGAUAUUUCCCUAAGAUAUUUGGCAAAAUAUCUCAUGUUAUCUUUAAGAAUAAGAUGGAUAGACUGAAACUGUGGCAGCAGAGUACAGGGAAAUUCAAAGUUGGAAAACAAUAUUAAAAGUGUGUUGCUUUGACAGAUAUCCCA